AAACUUUACAAUGCAGGAAACUGUGAUAAGGAAACACCGAGUGCUCACAUCAAAUGUGGGCUGUCCAUAUGCUUAAACCGCAUAUGUUAGCAAGGGCCGGGCAAUACCGGUGCCAGCCGCCGCGGUAAUACCGGUGGCCCGAGUGGUAGCCGCUUUUAUUUGGUCUAAAGGGUCCGUAGCCGGUCCGGUCAGUCCAUUGGUAAAUUCGAAUGCUCAACAUUCGAUCUUUCAGUGGAUACUUCCGGACUUGGAACUGGGAGAGGUAAGAGGUACUGUAGGGGUAGGAGUGAAAUCUUGUAAUCCCUAUGAGACCACCUGUGGCGAAGGCGUCUUACCGGAACGGGUUCGACGGUGAGGGACGAAAGCCGGGGGCACGAACCGGA
This 383-nucleotide ribosomal RNA is filed under the name uncultured archaeon. Its description in RNAcentral is "bacterial SSU rRNA". It matches the Rfam family "Archaeal small subunit ribosomal RNA", at positions 345 to 728 of the family's 1478-position model. The record is from RNAcentral.